RNAcentral lists this ribosomal RNA (785 nucleotides) under Salmonella enterica subsp. enterica serovar Derby. RNAcentral describes it as "bacterial LSU rRNA". It matches the Rfam family "Bacterial large subunit ribosomal RNA", at positions 243 to 967 of the family's 2925-position model. The record is from RNAcentral. Lineage: Bacteria; Pseudomonadati; Pseudomonadota; Gammaproteobacteria; Enterobacterales; Enterobacteriaceae.
GUAGCGGCGAGCGAACGGGGAGGAGCCCAGAGCCUGAAUCAGCAUGUGUGUUAGUGGAAGCGUCUGGAAAGGCGCGCGAUACAGGGUGACAGCCCCGUACACAAAAGCGCAUGUGCUGUGAGCUCGAUGAGUAGGGCGGGACACGUGGUAUCCUGUCUGAAUAUGGGGGGACCAUCCUCCAAGGCUAAAUACUCCUGACUGACCGAUAGUGAACCAGUACCGUGAGGGAAAGGCGAAAAGAACCCCGGCGAGGGGAGUGAAAAAGAACCUGAAACCGUGUACGUACAAGCAGUGGGAGCCCCACCACUAAGCCAGUGGUGAACUCCACAUACGCAUCCUUUGCUGAGGAUACGGUUAACGGAGCGCAAGCGACGUUCAACCGCAAAAGAAGCAGAGGGGGCUUAGUGGUGGGGUGACUGCGUACCUUUUGUAUAAUGGGUCAGCGACUUAUAUUCUGUAGCAAGGUUAACCGUAUAGGGGAGCCGGAGGGAAACCGAGUCUUAAUUGGGCGUUAAGUUGCAGGGUAUAGACCCGAAACCCGGUGAUCUAGCCAUGGGCAGGUUGAAGGUUGGGUAACACUAACUGGAGGACCGAACCGACUAAUGUUGAAAAAUUAGCGGAUGACCUGUGGCUGGGGGUGAAAGGCCAAUCAAACCGGGAGAUAGCUGGUUCUCCCCGAAAGCUAUUUAGGUAGCGCCUCGUGAAUUCAUCUCCGGGGGUAGAGCACUGUUUCGGCUAGGGGGCCAUCCCGGCUUACCAACCCGAUGCAAACUGCGAAUACCGGA